AUUGAACGCUGGCGGCAGGCCUAACACAUGCAAGUCGAACGGUAACAGGAAGCACCUUGCUGUUUUGCUUACGAGUGGCGGACGGGUGAGUAAUGUCUGGGAAACUGCCCUAUGGCGGGGGUUAACUACUGGAAACGGUAGCUAAUACCGCAUAACGUCGCAACACCAAAGAUCGGUACCUUAGGGCCUCUUUCCUUUGACUUUUCCCAGAUGGGAUUAGCUAGUAGGUGGGGUAACGGCUCACCUAGGCAACGAGCCCUAGCUGGUCUGAGAGGAUGAGCAGCCACACUGGAACUGAGACACGGUCCAGACUCCUACGGGAGGCAGCAGUGGGGAAUAUUGCACAAUGGGCGCAAGCCUGAUGCAGCCAUGCCGCGUGUAUGAAGAAGGCCUUCGGGUUGUAAAGUACUUUCAGCGGGGAGGAAGGGAGUAAAGUUAAUACCUGUGCUCAUUGACGGUACCCGCAGAAGAAGCACCGGCUAACUCCGUG
This 490-nucleotide ribosomal RNA is filed under the name uncultured bacterium. Its description in RNAcentral is "partial 16S ribosomal RNA". It matches the Rfam family "Bacterial small subunit ribosomal RNA", at positions 30 to 507 of the family's 1533-position model. The record is from RNAcentral.